ACGAAGUAAUCCCUGAAUUUCACAACAGCUAUUCCGAGCUUUUUGAGACACUAGAAAAUGAAUUAGCCACUAAAGGAAAAGCUGGGCUAAACGCAGCAAAUGAUCAAGCAGCAUUUAACUUUCUUGCUCGAUCUUUUUACGGAGUUAAUCCGUUAGACACCAAUCUUGGAGCUGAUGGACCCAAGUUAAUUGGCAAAUGGCUGUUGUUUCAGCUUCAUCCUUUGCUAAUUCUUGGCCUUCCUAAAGUUCUUGAAGAUCUCAUUCUUCAUACUUUUAGGCUGUUGGGUAUUAUGCAAGUUAAUUGGCAAAUGGGUGUUGUUUCAGCUUCAUCCUUUGCUAAUUUUAGGCCUUCCUAAAGUUCUUGAAGAUCUUGUCCUUCAUACUUUCAGGCUGCCUUCUGCUUUAGUGAAAAAAGAUUACCAAAGAUUGUACAAUUUCUUCUGCGAGAACUCAACUUCCAUUCUUGAUGAAGCUGAAAGAACUGGAAUUUCACGUGAGGAAGCUUGUCACAAUUUGCUAUUUGCAACGUGUUUCAAUUCUUUUGGAGGGAUGAAAAUAUUUUUUCCCAAUAUGUUGAAAUGGAUUGGUCGAGCUGGGGUCAAACUCCACACUCAAUUAGCUCAAGAGAUUCGGUCAGGCAUUAAAUCAAACGGUGGAAAGAUUACAAUGGGUGCAAUGGAAAACAUGCCAUUAAUGAAAUCUGUAAUUUAUGAAUGCCUACACAAUGGGAGCAAUGGAAAACAUGCCAUUAAUGAAAUCUGUAGUGUAUGAAUCCCUCCGUAUUGAACCACCAGUUGCAUCACAAUACGGCAGAGCAAAACGAGAUAUGGUGAUUGAAUCCCACGACGGAGCAUUUGAGA
Molecule: long non-coding RNA, 860 nt
Filed under: Nicotiana benthamiana
Lineage: Eukaryota; Viridiplantae; Streptophyta; Magnoliopsida; Solanales; Solanaceae
Description: long non-coding RNA (NBEN_LNC007114)
Source: RNAcentral